GAUGAACGCUGGCGGCGUGCCUAAUACAUGCAAGUCGAGCGAACAGACGAGGAGCUUGCUCCUCUGACGUUAGCGGCGGACGGGUGAGUAACACGUGGAUAACCUACCUAUAAGACUGGGAUAACUUCGGGAAACCGGAGCUAAUACCGGACAAUAUAUUGAACCGCAUGGUUCAAUAGUGAAAGACGGUUUUGCUGUCCCUUAUAGAUGGAUCCGCGCCGCAUUAGCUAGUUGGUAAGGUAACGGCUUACCAAGGCAACGAUGCGUAGCCGACCUGAGAGGGUGAUCGGCCACACUGGAACUGAGACACGGUCCAGACUCCUACGGGAGGCAGCAGUAGGGAAUCUUGCGCAAUGGGCGAAAGCCUGACGGAGCAACGCCGCGUGAGUGAUGAAGGUCUUCGGAUCGUAAAACUCUGUUAUUAGGGAAGAACAAAUGUGUAAGUAACUAUGCACGUCUUGACGGUACCUAAUCAGAAAGCCACGGCUAACUACGUG
This 497-nucleotide ribosomal RNA is filed under the name uncultured bacterium. RNAcentral's name for it is "partial 16S ribosomal RNA". It matches the Rfam family "Bacterial small subunit ribosomal RNA", at positions 28 to 507 of the family's 1533-position model. The record is from RNAcentral.